RNAcentral lists this ribosomal RNA (1482 nucleotides) under metagenome. Its description in RNAcentral is "bacterial SSU rRNA". It matches the Rfam family "Bacterial small subunit ribosomal RNA". The record is from RNAcentral.
AGAGUUUGAUCCUGGCUCAGGAUGAACGCUGGCGGCGUGCUUAACGCAUGCAAGUCGAACGAAGCACUCUAUUUGAUUUUCUUCGGAAAUGAAGAUUUUGUGACUGAGUGGCGGACGGGUGAGUAACGCGUGGGUAACCUGCCUCAUACAGGGGGAUAACAGUUGGAAACGACUGCUAAUACCGCAUAAGCGCACAGGAUCGCAUGAUCCGGUGUGAAAAACUCCGGUGGUAUGAGAUGGACCCGCGUCUGAUUAGCCAGUUGGCAGGGUAACGGCCUACCAAAGCGACGAUCAGUAGCCGACCUGAGAGGGUGACCGGCCACAUUGGGACUGAGACACGGCCCAAACUCCUACGGGAGGCAGCAGUGGGGAAUAUUGCACAAUGGGGGAAACCCUGAUGCAGCGACGCCGCGUGAGCGAAGAAGUAUUUCGGUAUGUAAAGCUCUAUCAGCAGGGAAGAAGAAUGACGGUACCUGACUAAGAAGCACCGGCUAAAUACGUGCCAGCAGCCGCGGUAAUACGUAUGGUGCAAGCGUUAUCCGGAUUUACUGGGUGUAAAGGGAGCGCAGGCGGUGCGGCAAGUCUGAUGUGAAAGCCCGGGGCUCAACCCCGGUACUGCAUUGGAAACUGUCGUACUAGAGUGUCGGAGGGGUAAGUGGAAUUCCUAGUGUAGCGGUGAAAUGCGUAGAUAUUAGGAGGAACACCAGUGGCGAAGGCGGCUUACUGGACGAUAACUGACGCUGAGGCUCGAAAGCGUGGGGAGCAAACAGGAUUAGAUACCCUGGUAGUCCGCACAGUAAACGAUGGAUGCCCGCUGUGAGCCUGUUUAAUGGUUUGCGGCCAAGCGAAAGCGUUAAGCAUCCCACCUGGGGAGUACGCCGGCAACGGUGAAACUCAAAGGAAUUGACGGGGGCCCGCACAAGCGGAGGAACAUGUGGUUUAAUUCGAUGAUACGCGAGGAACCUUACCCGGGCUUGAAUUGCAGGUGCAUGGGGUGGAGACAUCCCUUUCCUUCGGGACUCCUGUGAAGGUGCUGCAUGGUUGUCGUCAGCUCGUGCCGUGAGGUGUCGGCUUAAGUGCCAUAACGAGCGCAACCCCUCUCCGUAGUUGCCAUCGGGUUAAGCCGGGCACUCUGCGGACACUGCCUCCGCAAGGAGUGAGGAAGGUGGGGAUGACGUCAAAUCAGCACGGCCCUUACGUCCGGGGCUACACACGUGUUACAAUGGGGCAUACAGAGAGCAGGGUGUACGCAAGUGCGCCCGAAUCAAGAAAGUGCCUCUCAGUUCGGACUGGGGUCUGCAACCCGACCCCACGAAGCUGGAUUCGCUAGUAAUCGCGCAUCAGCCAUGGCGCGGUGAAUACGUUCCCGGGCCUUGUACACACCGCCCGUCAAGCCAUGAAAGCCGGGGGCGCCUGAAGUCCGUGACCGCGAGGGUCGGCCUAGGGUGAAACCGGUGAUUGGGGCUAAGUCGUAACAAGGUA